Long non-coding RNA from Scatophagus argus, 150 nucleotides. RefSeq lists it as uncharacterized. NCBI's taxonomy places the organism in Eukaryota, Metazoa, Chordata, Actinopteri, Scatophagidae. The transcript has 2 exons. The record is from RefSeq and is a predicted model, not a curated record.
CAAUAUGGUAUCUCCCAGAACCUUAAAAUGGCAUUCAGUUUUCCCAUGGACUGUUUUUGCCUGAACACCCUGGAAAGAGGUGUGAGUGACAACAGGUUCGGACUCAAUUCUACCUCAGCUGAGAAGCACCUCCCAUAUCACUAAUCCAAG